UUGACGGGGAGCACCACAACGGGUGGAGCUUGCGGUUUUAAUUGGAUUCAACGCCGGAAAUCUUACCGGGACCGACAGCAAUAUGAAGGCCAGGCUGAAGACUUUGCCGGAUUAGCUGAGAGGUGGUGCAUGGCCGUCGUCAGUUCGUACUGUGAAGCAUCCUGUUAAGUCAGGCAACGAGCGAGACCCACGCCCACAGUUGCCAGCGUACUCUCUGGAGUGACGGGUACACUGUGGGGACCGCCGCUGCUAAAGCGGAGGAAGGAAUGGGCAACGGUAGGUCAGUAUGCCCCGAAUAUCCCGGGCUACACGCGAGCUACAAUGGUUGGUACAAUGGGUAUCUACCCCGAAAGGGGACGGGAAUCUCCUAAAACCAAUCUUAGUUCGGAUUGAGGGCUGCAACUCGCCCUCAUGAAGCUGGAAUCCGUAGUAAUCGCGUUUCAACAGAACGCGGUGAAUACGUCCCUGCUCCUU
This 474-nucleotide ribosomal RNA is filed under the name uncultured Methanosaeta sp. RNAcentral's name for it is "bacterial SSU rRNA". It matches the Rfam family "Archaeal small subunit ribosomal RNA", at positions 871 to 1337 of the family's 1478-position model. Lineage: Archaea; Methanobacteriati; Methanobacteriota; Methanomicrobia; Methanotrichales; Methanotrichaceae. The record is from RNAcentral.